CAGCCGCCGCGGGAAUACGUAGGGUCCGAGCGUUGUCCGGAAUUAUUGGGCGUAAAGGGCUCGUAGGCGGUUUGUCGCGUCGGGAGUGAAAACCAGGUGCUUAACACCUGGCCUGCUUUCGAUACGGGCAGACUAGAGGCAUUCAGGGGAGAACGGAAUUCCUGGUGUAGCGGUGAAAUGCGCAGAUAUCAGGAGGAACACCGGUGGCGAAGGCGGUUCUCUGGGAAUGUCCUGACGCUGAGGAGCGAAAGUGUGGGGAGCGAACAGGAUUAGAGACCCCCGUAGUCCCUGUCUCUUAUAC
RNAcentral lists this ribosomal RNA (301 nucleotides) under uncultured bacterium. RNAcentral's name for it is "partial 16S ribosomal RNA". It matches the Rfam family "Bacterial small subunit ribosomal RNA", at positions 509 to 807 of the family's 1533-position model. The record is from RNAcentral.